Molecule: ribosomal RNA, 491 nt
Filed under: Anelpistina boneti
Lineage: Eukaryota; Metazoa; Arthropoda; Insecta; Zygentoma; Nicoletiidae
Description: partial 16S ribosomal RNA
Rfam family: Bacterial large subunit ribosomal RNA
Source: RNAcentral
GGUCCUGCGUGAGGGGUGUAGGAUCUGGCCUGCCCAAUGAUUUAUUUAAUGGCCGCGGUAAUUUGACCGUGCAAAGGUAGCAUAAUCAUUAGUCCUUUAAUUGGGGUCUGGGAUGAAGGGUUGGACGAGAGAAGGGCUGUCUAGUUAGUAGUUUUAUUUUGAAUUUUACUUUUUAGUGAAAAGGCUGGAAUUUUCUUGGGGGACGAUAAGACCCUAUAGAUCUUUACAUUGUAAUGCAUAUAAAAGUUUGUUGGUGUGUUUUGUUGGGGUGACAGGAAGAUAUAAUGAACUCUUUUGUUAAUUUGUUACUGAUGGGUAUAUUUUUGGUCCUUAUAUUAAGAUUAUUAGAUUAAGUUACCUUAGGGAUAACAGCGUAAUCCUUUUUGAGAGUUCUUAUUGACAAAAGGGUUUGCGACCUCGAUGUUGGAUUAAGAGGGUUUUGUGGUGCAGAAGCUACAACGGAAGGUCUGUUCGACCUUUAAUUUCUUACA